GAUGAAGAACGCAGCGAAAUGCGAUACUUGGUGUGAAUUGCAGAAUCCCGUGAACCAUCGAGUCUUUGAACGCAAGUUGCGCCUCAAGCCAUUAGGUUGAGGGCACGUCUGCCUGGGCGUCACAUAUCGUUGCCUGAUGCCAGUUUCCUCGUGAUGGGUGACUGUGCAGGGCGAAUGAUGGCUUCCCGUGAGCAUUGUUGCCUCAUGGUUGGUUGAAAAUUGAGUCCUAGGUAGGGAGCGCCGUGAUAGAUGGUGGUUGAGUGACGAACGAGACCCAAUCAUGUGAGACCCCUACCGAAUUUGGCCUUCAUGACCCACAUGCGUCUUUGGAACGCUCAUGACGAGACCUCAGGUCAGGCGGGGCUACCCGCUGAGUUUAAGCAUAUCAAUAAGCGGAGGA
Molecule: unclassified non-coding RNA, 400 nt
Filed under: soil metagenome
Description: partial contains 5.8S ribosomal RNA, internal transcribed spacer 2, and large subunit ribosomal RNA
Rfam family: 5.8S ribosomal RNA (bases 1-122)
Source: RNAcentral